AGUGGCGAACGGGUGAGUAAUAUAUCGGAACGUGCCCAGUCGUGGGGGAUAACGUAGCGAAAGUUACGCUAAUACCGCAUACGAUCUACGGAUGAAAGCGGGGGACCGUAAGGCCUCGCGCGAUUGGAGCGGCCGAUAUCAGAUUAGGUAGUUGGUGGGGUAAAGGCUCACCAAGCCAACGAUCUGUAGCUGGUCUGAGAGGACGACCAGCCACACUGGAACUGAGACACGGUCCAGACUCCUACGGGAGGCAGCAGUGGGGAAUUUUGGACAAUGGACGCAAGUCUGAUCCAGCCAUUCCGCGUGCAGGAUGAAGGCCCUCGGGUUGUAAACUGCUUUUGUACGGAACGAAAAGGUCUCUAUUAAUACUAGGGGCUCAUGACGGUACCGUAAGAAUAAGCACCGGCUAACUACGUGCCAGCAGCCGCGGUAAUACGUAGGGUGCAAGCGUUAAUCGGAAUUACUGGGCGUAAAGCGUGCGCAGGCGGUUAUGUAAGACAGAGGUGAAAUCCCCGGGCUCAACCUGGGAACUGCCUUUGUGACUGCACAGCUAGAGUACGGUAGAGGGGGAUGGAAUUCCGCGUGUAGCAGUGAAAUGCGUAGAUAUGCGGAGGAACACCGAUGGCGAAGGCAAUCCCCUGGACCUGUACUGACGCUCAUGCACGAAAGCGUGGGGAGCAAACAGGAUUAGAUACCCUGG
This 700-nucleotide ribosomal RNA is filed under the name uncultured beta proteobacterium. RNAcentral's name for it is "bacterial SSU rRNA". It matches the Rfam family "Bacterial small subunit ribosomal RNA", at positions 94 to 790 of the family's 1533-position model. The record is from RNAcentral. Lineage: Bacteria; Pseudomonadati; Pseudomonadota; Betaproteobacteria.